This is a long non-coding RNA of Oncorhynchus masou masou (cherry salmon), 285 nucleotides long. RefSeq lists it as uncharacterized. Lineage: Eukaryota; Metazoa; Chordata; Actinopteri; Salmoniformes; Salmonidae. The record is from RefSeq and is a predicted model, not a curated record. The transcript is spliced from 3 exons.
GCAUACCAGAGGAAAGACAGUCUGAUAUCAAAGUGUAUGACUAGUCUCACACAGAAAUUGACUCAGAGGUGUUUGAAGAGAUUGCAAAGGAGUCACCUGGCACCUUCUGGACCACUCUAGGCGAUGAAGGACUUGCAGCCACUGGUGAAGGGAGCCAACCCAAAAGACAGUGCCGGAUAAACUGAGGCUAAAACGUUGAUUGAAAGACUCCGAACAUCAAAACCUGGUGGUGAACGCAUCAUACAAGAGUAUGGAAAAACCAAGACUGACAGAUGCCACCAGAAG